RNAcentral lists this ribosomal RNA (253 nucleotides) under uncultured bacterium. Its description in RNAcentral is "partial 16S ribosomal RNA". It matches the Rfam family "Bacterial small subunit ribosomal RNA", at positions 524 to 776 of the family's 1533-position model. The record is from RNAcentral.
GACGUAGGGCGCGAGCGUUGUCCGGAUUUAUUGGGCGUAAAGAGCUCGUAGGCGGCUUGUCGCGUCGUCCGUGAAAACCUGUGGCUCAACUGCAGGCUUGCGGUCGAUACGGGCAGGCUAGAGUUCGGUAGGGGAGACUGGAAUUCCUGGUGUAGCGGUGAAAUGCGCAGAUAUCAGGAGGAACACCGGUGGCGAAGGCGGGUCUCUGGGCCGUAACUGACGCUGAGGAGCGAAAGCGUGGGGAGCGAACAGG